AUGGCUAAGAGAUUUAACUUUCUUGUGCGGUAUAGAGAAUUGGUAAAAAAUCUCCAAUCAACUACUACUCCUAAAGCUGCUAUAGUUAGCCACUUCUCAAUUGCAAAACAAUCUCAUUAUUUGCAUACUCAAGGUGGUGAUCCAUUAGUAGGACCAGAAAAUCAAGGGUCGGAGAAAGAGGUUCUCAGAAAUGUUAAAGAACUCACAGAGGCUGAUAUGAAUAUUAUGGACACAGUGGAGUAUAGAAGUAAGGAAGGUUUGGUAGGGCAACUUGGAGAUGGCUGUGAUAACGUUCGGUUUUAA
This is a non-coding RNA of Vicia faba (fava bean), 303 nucleotides long. The record is from the annotation of a GenBank genome assembly. NCBI's taxonomy places the organism in Eukaryota, Viridiplantae, Streptophyta, Magnoliopsida, Fabales, Fabaceae.